CAGAAUGCUUUCGAUGUGUCCUCACCUACUCUCCAAAUAAAGAAAAUAUCAUCGAUAUACCGGGCAUAGGACACCAGGCUUGCUCCGAGUACCUUAGUGGACCAGAUGAUCUCGGUCUCCCACAAUCCCAUAAAGAGAUUGCCGUAACUUAAAGCAAAGAUGGAUGCAGCCUUGAUCCCAGCAGUCUGAAAACCGAUGGCGGAAUCCUGACACAGCUAAGAAUGCCAAUACCGCUAUCCAGACAGUGAUUGAAAUGCCGGCGCCAGGAUCCCGGCCGCCGGAAUCCCGACGCAAGACUGCCGAACAGCUCACCAUGACAGCAGGAAGGAGAGCAGCACCGGCACACUGACAGACGGGGAGCGGGACUGAGAGACACCUACUGGGGUCACAUCACCACGUCGGUACUGGAAGAACUGAGCUUACUGGAUCGAUCAAGGGCCUGAUUCAGAGAGGGACGCAGUUUGGAUUGGUGCUGCAACUUCGGAUGCAGAGGAUCCUUGUUAUAUAUGCUAAUGCAGCAGGAGGUGUCUUUAGUAAAAUGAUGACCAUUGAUAGCUUUCUAAGAUCUGCUGGCUGUGACCAAAGAUCCCAUAUCCAUUGUAUCAACUGCAUGAACAUUGGGCGGCCAUCCGACAGCUCAGCAAAACCACACUAUUGGUGCUAGUGAUACUGCGUCUGCGGUCACAGCCAAUGGCUUCAGCUUGCCCCCAUUUUCUGUAAUGCUCCCCCCUUCCCAACACAACCCCCCGAACAGCCGCAGACUGUCGCUCACAUGAUUUCUGCAGCUGCAGCGUGUGCAACAUCGGAGGAUCAGAUCUACACACGCUCAGUGCGGACACUGUAUAUACGCAGAUAAAACCCAUCAGAUUUGUGAGAAUACAGAACUACCAUAAAUGUCUGAAUCAGGCCCUAAGGUGGAAAGACUAUGUACAUGAAAGCCUGGCAGCUUUUUUGGGGGUGAGAGAGGGUUAAGUGUUAACUAUAUAAGAGCUACUGUAUCUUAUGUACGCUGUCCAGAUGAUCUUUCUAACCUUUGCCUACCUAUACUGCAGCCGUUAAUGGUGCUGAGCACAUUAGGCUAUGAGGAUAUGUUCAUUUUGGGCUCCACUUUGUCUAAAACAGGAUUUCAGCCUAACUCACAUUUGUACAUAAACCCGAUGGUUUACGUACAUAUCCGAUGUUUAGGGGUCUGCACAGACGCAAAACCAAUUCUGUGCAUGUGCUGAAGGGAUCAUGUGAUAUUGCUUGCAGCCCUCUGUUAGCCGCAACAUGUUACCCCCGUUUUGUAGGUAUGCCAAGUCCAGGGUCUACGUCUACCCGGGUUUCUGAGUAAACAUUGCGAAUAGUGAUCCAAGGCUGGGAUCCAAAGCUGAUCUCGCAAAUGCAUGUAGGAGACAUCUAUCUCCUUCAGACACCUCCUGCUGCAAUGAAUUUUACUUGCAAAGCUGCUUCCCUACAGCUGUCUAAUUCCUACCAAAUCUGAAUUAGGCCCUUUGUGUGUACAUAA
Pseudophryne corroboree (corroboree frog) is the source of this 1507-nucleotide long non-coding RNA. RefSeq lists it as uncharacterized. The record is from RefSeq and is a predicted model, not a curated record. The transcript is spliced from 3 exons. Lineage: Eukaryota; Metazoa; Chordata; Amphibia; Anura; Myobatrachidae.